This 426-nucleotide ribosomal RNA is filed under the name uncultured bacterium. RNAcentral describes it as "partial 16S ribosomal RNA". It matches the Rfam family "Bacterial small subunit ribosomal RNA", at positions 354 to 796 of the family's 1533-position model. The record is from RNAcentral.
GUGAGGAAUUUUCCGCAAUGGGCGAAAGCCUGACGGAGCAAUACCGCGUGAAGGAUGAAGGCCUAUGGGUUGUAAACUUCUUUUCUCAGAAAAGAAUUAUGACGGUAUCUGAGGAAUAAGCAUCGGCUAACUCUGUGCCAGCAGCCGCGGUAAGACAGAGGAUGCAAGCGUUAUCCGGAAUGAUUGGGCGUAAAGCGUCUGUAGGUUGUUUAAAAAGUAUUCUGUCAAAGAUUAGGGCUUAACCCUAGAUAGGCAGAAUAAACUUUUAAGCUAGAGUGUGGUAGAGGCAGAGGGAAUUCCCGGUGGAGCGGUGAAAUGCGUAGAUAUCGGGAGGAACACCAAAGGCGAAGGCACUCUGCUGGGCCAAUACUAACACUGAGAGACGAAAGCGAGGGGAGCAAAUGGGAUUAGAUACCCCAGUAGUCC